CAACCCUCGAACCCCUCCGGGGGGUCGGCGUUGGGGAUCGGCCCUCCCUCGCGGGGGCCGUCUCCGAAAUCCAGUGGCGGUCUCGCCGCAGCCUCUCCUGCGCAGUAGUUUGCACACUCGCACCGGGAGCGCGGCGCGUCCACAGCCGUUAAACACCCAACUCUCUGAAA
This 170-nucleotide unclassified non-coding RNA is filed under the name uncultured Trichoderma. RNAcentral describes it as "sequence contains ITS2". The record is from RNAcentral. Lineage: Eukaryota; Fungi; Ascomycota; Sordariomycetes; Hypocreales; Hypocreaceae.